UUCGAGCAUUUUCAAAUUGUUAAUGGAAAAACUUAAUUAUUAAUAAAAAAAAAUUUUAGUUUCUCAAUUGUUAACUUCUUACCUUCCAAGUAAUUUGACUAUACAUUAAUAGUUAAUUCCAAAGAUAUUUCUUUUUAUAUGCCUAUAAAUAAUAAAUUAUGACUAGUAGACAUUAGAACUAGCUUUUAAGUACCUGAUCAAUACUAAGCUGACCUAAGGAUUUAGCAAAAAAAACCUUUUCACAAAGUACAUUGAUCUCUGUCUUUGACAUUCUCAAUAUAACUUCCUACAACACUCAUCGUCUUCGAUUUCAUUUCCGCCUCGAAUUUCACGCUUAAUAUUCAUCUUAAUCCUAUUUCAACCAAAAACUUUUCAAAGAUUAAGGGAUUUUCACACGUACACGCGUAAUUCCUGUCAAUGUUUUGCCCGGUCUAGAUAGACGUAUGCUCGGUGAUUUCUCUUACGAGAAAGGGACGAAGAGAAGGUGAAAUGACGAAGGGUGCAAAUAUUGUGCACCGUUGUCGCAAUAUUAUCGUUUCGAAAAGACGCACACACCAGCUCGGGCCACGCUUUAUACUCGUGGGUUCGCUUGCAAACAGAUAACGUGCGACCCCGAGUGGUUUACCGGCUAGUCCUGUUUGGCUUACGGCUUACGAAGAUAUCCCACCACCUCCAGGAACACGCGUUGCUUGUAUAGGAUCAUCAUAGGAGAAAACUCGCGAGGUAUCCGAAAUGUAUAUAUUUUGGAUGAACUCGUUCCACGUAUUUCUAGUCUCACAACUGAUUUCGAGAUCUGAUCUUCCGUACGUAGAUACCGAAUCUUUCGAUGUACGAUGCUAUGUUCGUUUGCAAAAAGAAGACGAAGUACAUUUGCGUCUCUGUUAGAAGUUUCUAUGCGCUUUAGAUGUGCGCAGUGUACUUUGAAACGAAGUAGCUACGAGGUUAUUUUUCUUUGUUGUAAAUUAAUGCGCAGUUAGAUUGAUAAAUUUUUUAUGUGAAUUGUGCAUAUAUUAUUGCAUAGAUUGUGUUAUUCAAUACUUCUCAGGAUCAAGUUCAAAAAUAAUAAAAUAAAAUAGCGAUUAUUUAAUAUUUUUUGUGUUUCAAAUCAUCUAACGAGAUAUAUAUUAUAUGCGAGAAAUUUUCGUCUUUGUGGCGAAAAAAUGUGCAAUUCGAUAAUUUAUAAAAAUUUGUAAAAUCGAAAUAUAAUCAAUCACUAAAUCAAUGAUUUUGAAACGAAAUAGUUAUGAGUUCAACUGGAGAUCGGUAUCGUGUCAACUUCUACGAAAGAACAAAGAGAUUUUCUCUAGAAUGGAAGAAAUAGUUUUUAAAGUCGACCUUCAUACUCCAGAAAAAUGUUAAACCAUGCGACAAUUUCCUAGACACCAGUUGAUACAUCGUGGACCUUUUUCUGUUUUCCAUAAUACCCGUGAAAAUCUGGAGCAGUCCCGUUUCUUUUUCCUUUGCAUACCUUUGACCAUUUCUAUGGGAAUUACUCCAGUGAUUUGUUGCUUCUGUCGUGGAAAUCGAAAAACAGAAUACGAACAUGGAAUAUCACCCAUCGACGCGAUAUGGCUUGUUUGUAUAUUUCGACACUCGGAAUGAAGAUGGGAUUUGUAUCGAGAAUCGAUCGAUAUCGCUACAAUGCUCUCAAUAUUGUGGAAACAAUUCUAAUGUUUCGUAAAUCUUGUAAAGAUUUAAAAAAGAUAUCGUAAUAAAAUGUUAAAUAAAAAAUCUGGAGAAAUUAUAGCGUGAUAGAUUUAAGAGACCAUUGCUAUAUAAAUUUUGAUCACGAUAUCAAUUUUGAUAUUUGCAAAGAAAUAAAUGAUAAUCGUAAUAAAGAAAAAAGAAACAAAAGGAAUAAAAUAUUUAAAAAUUUCUUAAAAAUUGAAACAACCCAAAGUUUCACCAUAUCGAAGACUCUCUAUCUCUUUUUCUCCAUGUUUCGAGUCCUUUCUUUUUGGUUAAACAAACGAAAGAAAAGAAAUUUCUUUCUUUAGGAAAUAUUUUAUGCGUGCACCGAAUUUUUGAAAACCGGUAAAGAACAGAAUCGCAUUGAACACGAGGGUGAAAGUACAAGUACCGAAAAGACAGUUAGUUUUGGUUCGUAGGAUCCCUUCGUCCGCACACCUCGAACGAGAAGCAUGCAAAUACGACGGACUCGUCAAAGGGACGAAGAGUCAUUCGAAAAUAUAUAAUUCAGACCGUAAAUGGCCCUCUUACGGACUGGUAAAACGGUUAACUUUUAACGUGACCGGCUUAGGUAUGGAACCUUGGAAAGCGUAGUUUCCAUGCGAAAGGAAAAAGAAGCGACGAAAAGUGUAGGACAGAUCGCAUUAUCCUUUGAUAAAACGACUUCUUGGCGGGCUAAAGGUGGCGGAGGGGAGAGAGAAGGGUGAAGGGAAGGAGGAAAAAUGCGAAACUCGUUAUUAAGAAAACGAAUCAUAAUGGAAGGUGCUUGAAAGAUUGAUGGGACAAAGGACGAGGAGAUAGAAGUUGGUGUAAAAGUUGGCUCUCUGUAUAAUUUUAUACAGGGCCUAAGAAUCAGGAUGAGGCUGGUGUUAAACGUUCCGUUUGAUCGAUGUGAAUGUUGAAGAAUAAAAUUUCUUAACGGAAUUUUUAAGGAAGAGAUACAAUAAAG
Molecule: long non-coding RNA, 2638 nt
Organism: Apis dorsata (giant honeybee)
Lineage: Eukaryota; Metazoa; Arthropoda; Insecta; Hymenoptera; Apidae
Exons: 4
Source: RefSeq, a predicted model, not a curated record